Molecule: ribosomal RNA, 253 nt
Filed under: uncultured bacterium
Lineage: Bacteria
Description: partial 16S ribosomal RNA
Rfam family: Bacterial small subunit ribosomal RNA
Source: RNAcentral
GACGAACCACACAAACGUUAUUCGGAAUUACUGGGCGUAAAGCGCGCGCAGGCGGUUCUUCAAGUCAGAGGUGAAAGCCCAGAGCUCAACUCUGGAAUGGCCUUUGAGACUAGAGAACUAGGGUACGGGAGAGGUGAGUGGAAUUCCGAGUGUAGAGGUGAAAUUCGUAGAUAUUCGGAAGAACACCAGUGGCGAAGGCGGCUCACUGGCCCGUUACCGACGCUCAGGCGCGACAGCGUGGGGAGCAAACAGG